GCCUCUGUAGCUCAGCGGUAGAGCUACGGCCUUUUAAGCCGCAGGUCCUGGGUUCGAAUCCCAGCGGAGGCA
This 72-nucleotide transfer RNA is filed under the name Candidatus Ancillula glyptotermitis. Its description in RNAcentral is "tRNA-Lys". It matches the Rfam family "tRNA". From Rfam's summary of the family: Transfer RNA (tRNA) molecules are approximately 80 nucleotides in length. Their secondary structure includes four short double-helical elements and three loops (D, anti-codon, and T loops). The record is from RNAcentral. Lineage: Bacteria; Bacillati; Actinomycetota; Actinomycetes; Bifidobacteriales; Bifidobacteriaceae.